RNAcentral lists this ribosomal RNA (747 nucleotides) under uncultured bacterium. Its description in RNAcentral is "bacterial SSU rRNA". It matches the Rfam family "Bacterial small subunit ribosomal RNA", at positions 68 to 829 of the family's 1533-position model. The record is from RNAcentral.
UGUUGAAAGCUUGCUGGAUAUACAACUUAGUGGCGGACGGGUGAGUAACACGUGAGUAACCUGCCUUUCAGAGUGGAAUAACGUUUGGAAACGAACGCUAAUACCGCAUAACAUGAGAGAACGGCAUCGUUCUUUCAUCAAAGAUUUUAUCGCUGAGAGAUGGGCUCGCGGCCGAUUAGGUAGUUGGUGAGAUAACAGCCCACCAAGCCGACGAUCGGUAGCCGGACUGAGAGGUUGAACGGCCACAUUGGGACUGAGACACGGCCCAGACUCCUACGGGAGGCAGCAGUGGGGGAUAUUGCACAAUGGAGGAAACUCUGAUGCAGCGACGCCGCGUGAGGGAAGACGGUCUUCGGAUUGUAAACCUCUGUCUUUAGGGACGAAAAAAUGACGGUACCUAAGGAGGAAGCCACGGCUAACUACGUGCCAGCAGCCGCGGUAAUACGUAGGUGGCAAGCGUUGUCCGGAAUUACUGGGUGUAAAGGGAGCGUAGGCGGGGAGACAAGUUGAAUGUUUAAACUAUCGGCUCAACUGAUAGUCGCGUUCAAAACUAUCACUCUUGAGUGCAGUAGAGGUAGGCGGAAUUCCUAGUGUAGCGGUGAAAUGCGUAGAUAUUAGGAGGAACACCAGUGGCGAAGGCGGCCUACUGGGCUGUAACUGACGCUGAGGCUCGAAAGCGUGGGUAGCAAACAGGAUUAGAUACCCUGGUAGUCCACGCCGUAAACGAUGAUUACUAGGUGUGGGGGG